Molecule: small RNA, 125 nt
Filed under: Marmota monax (woodchuck)
Lineage: Eukaryota; Metazoa; Chordata; Mammalia; Rodentia; Sciuridae
Source: RNAcentral
GCCGGGCAUGGUGACGCAUGCCUGUAAUCCCAGCAUCUUGGGAGGCUGAGACAGGAGUACCAAGAGUUCAAAGCCAGCCUCAGUAAUGGUGAGGUGCUAAGCAGCUCAGUGAGAUCCUGUCUCUA